GUGAGAUGCAGUGUAUGGAAUGUCAAAUUUCUAGUAUGAGAAAUUAACGAUUUAAGUCCUUCUUAAAUGAGGCCAUUUACCCAAAGAGGGUGCCAGGCCCGUAUAACGUUAAUGAUUACUAGAUGACAUUUCCAAAGAGUCGUGUUGCUUGAUAGUGCAGCACUAAGUGGGUGGUAAACUCCAUCUAAAACUAAAUAUAACCAUGAGACCGAUAGUAAACAAGUACCGUGAGGGAAAGUUGAAAAGAACUCUGAAUAGAGAGUUAAAUAGUACGUGAAACUGCUUAGAGGUUAAGCCCGAUGAACCUGAAUAUCCUUUAUGGAAAAUUCAUCAUUAUGAUUUUAAUAUUAAUAAUAUUAUAAUAAUGGUGUGCAUUUUUUCCAUAUAUGGACAUUGUAAUCUAUUAAUAUAAAAAACAAUAUUUAUUAUAAGAUCUUAAGCUUUUGUUUAUUCAAAUUAUUAUGCUUGCAUUUUAACAUAGAAUAAGUGCUUUUGAUUUGAUAAAGUGUUGAUAGAUUUAUUAUAUAUAGUGCUUGAAUAUUUNAUAUUCUAUAAUGGCAUAUUGAUCAUUGAUCUUUGUGUUUAUAUUAUAUGCACUUAUAUGAUUAACAAUGCGAAAGAUUCAGGAUACCUUCGGGACCCGUCUUGAAACACGGACCAAGGAGUCUAACAUAUUUGCAAGUUAUUGGGAAUUAAAAACCUAAUAGCGAAAUUAACAUAACUUAUAUAAUGGGAUUAGUUUUUAGUACUAUUUAUAGUCUAUUAAUUCAAUCCCGGGGCGUUCUAUACAGUUAUGUAUAAUAAUAUUUAUAUUAUUUAUACCUCUAACUAGAGCGUACCUUGAGCAUAUAUGCUGUGACCCGAAAGAUGGUGAACUAUACUUGAUCAGGUUGAAGUCAGGGGAAACCC
RNAcentral lists this ribosomal RNA (909 nucleotides) under Lasiomma latipenne. RNAcentral's name for it is "eukaryotic LSU rRNA". It matches the Rfam family "Eukaryotic large subunit ribosomal RNA", at positions 138 to 864 of the family's 3401-position model. Lineage: Eukaryota; Metazoa; Arthropoda; Insecta; Diptera; Anthomyiidae. The record is from RNAcentral.